This 253-nucleotide ribosomal RNA is filed under the name uncultured bacterium. RNAcentral's name for it is "partial 16S ribosomal RNA". It matches the Rfam family "Bacterial small subunit ribosomal RNA", at positions 524 to 776 of the family's 1533-position model. The record is from RNAcentral.
UACGAAGGGGGCAAGCGUUGUCCGGAUUUAUUGGGCGUAAAGCGCACGCAGGCGGUCUCUUAAGUUUCGAGUGACAGGUCAGGGCUUAACCCUGGCAGGCCUUGGAAAACUGGGAGACUUGAGGGCUGCAGAGGGACGCGGAAUUCCAGGUGGAGCGGUGAAAUGCGUAGAGAUCUGGAGGAACACCGGUGGCGAAGGCGGCAUCCUGGACCAACACUGACACUGAGGAGCGAAAGCCAGGGGAGCAAACGGG